CUCGCGAACGCCAGUGAGUGGCGCUCGGUGCGCAGUAACACGCAGGUUGUGCUUUAAAACACCGCAACCUGCCUACAUAGACAGCACUAUAGUCAUAACAGGAACAACGCACUCUAGAUGCGCCUGACAUUCACACCAAGCACACCGCAGAGCUGGAAAAAAAACACGUUCUGCGAAACCGAAUGAUGCAUUGAAUGCCUUCAGCGUUGUCUAGCGAGCUGACUUGUUGUGAUUUGGGACGCGGCCACAGCAUUGAUUCAUUCGCGUGAAGCGUCGUUUUUUUUUCGCGCGGCUUGGAGAGGAAACAUUUAAUUAUGGCUUUUCCUUGCGAAAUCUGAAGGUUUGCAGGUUGAAGACAACUCCUGAUGCCAUCUACCCACAAUCAGUAUCUUAACCAACAGUGUAAAAGAUGCCACUACUUACUUUAAGCCUGAAAGCGGAAAGUGCUCCAGACCUCAAGGGAGGAUCUACAAGACUCUACAUGAAAGCUUGAGAACACAUGAACCUUCAGGAAACAUGAGUGUGAACGAUGAACACGCCAUAUCCUUCGGGACCCCCAAUGAAGAUAACUGCGACGAAAUCAGGAACAACAACAGACAUGCUGAGGAUUCCCUGGAUGGAGAUGCCAAUGCUAAUGAAAUCCAGAGGGUGGAUGGAGGAACAACUUUGGAAACAACCGACACUGUGUCCUCUGGGGUAUCGCACACUGAAGAACAGGUGAAGAUGAUUAUUCAGGGCACAGAUUCCCCUUGUGAUGAUCCAGACUUAGCAGAGUUUGAGAUGUUGGAAAUUCAGGAAUUAGAAGAUGAUGGAGAGAACAAUAUUCCUAAAGGUGUCAUGAAGGGAGCUCUAUCCAACAACAUGAAGAAGAGUGAUGCAGAGUCUGAUAGCAAAGUCUUUCCCCAGUUUUCUUCAAGUGAGCAAGAGUUUACUGUUUGUCCUCAGUCCACGAGCAAAGAAACAGUGAACAGCAUAGCCAAAAUGGAGUUUAGUUCUGAAAACGAUGUCUUCGUCACUUGUCUCUCUACAAUGUCUAGUCUUGGAGGAAGUCUUGCCAGUGCCCUGGACCAUGCUGGUCGGACCCAAAGCACUGAUUCUUGGCAUGCUCCCUUAGGGCCCUACCGAACUCUCUCUGAGGAUCUUACACUUGCCUCACAGUCCUGUAUGACAAUUUCAGACAAAACCCAGAGCUCUCUUCACACAGAGAACAUGCAUCAUCAGUCAGGAAAAUGUACAACACACAUUGGCGGUGUUGAUCUCAAUCUUAACUCAACCAUCUUGCCUGAGGAACCACUUUUAGAAGCACAAGAAAACCAAUCAGUUAUUGACUCUGUAAGAUGCGAGAGCUCAGGUCAACUCACAAAUGGUAUGAGUGAAUGUAGCAUUACAAGAAUCACAAAUGUCCCUAACGAAUCAGGAAGUGCCGGUCAGGACAAUCCAAGAGAAUCUGAAGUUCAUGCAAAUGAGUGCCAUUUAACAGAAGGCAAGUCUCCGUAUUUGAAACCAAUAUCCGCUGAGGAGAAACCAAGCAAACCUCUUGUCUCAGAUAACACACAGUCUACUUCACACAUCAGAAGGUUCUCCCAUGAUUCCACUGGUGUUAUAAAGAAUAAGCUUAAGUCACAGGACUUUCAGGAAUUUCCUGAUAAAAUCUCAAAAUCAAGCUCAAAGGGUUCACCUGUUCACUCUACUGGUUCUGAACCACAACCAUACAAGAAACAAUCAUCUUUUGAAAGAACCAGAAGUUCUAGUUCUAGCUUAGAAAGGCGAAGACCUUGGGCAAGCCCUUCUCGCUCAGAGACCCCUCAAUCCAAUCAUAGUUCACCUCGGAAGCUGCCGCCUUCAUCACCAGCCAAACAUUUAAGCACAAGAGAAGCAAGUCAAGAACAGAGUGAAUCUUUUCAAAGGGGAACCACUGGAUUGAGGCAACCAAGUAAAAGUUUCCUCACUAGUAGUAGCAGUCUCCCCAAAACUGUCAUUCUUCAACAACCCUCUAGAGCGGAGUCUGAAUCUAAGAAGUCUUCUCCUCCUCAGAAGCCCAAAAACGUAAGACCAAAAAUCAUAACCUAUAUCCGCAAGAGCCCCCAAGUAAAACAAAUGUCUGAAGGUCCCUACGAAGUAUCGACACUUCCACCAAGACUUACGCCAUACGGUAGCUCAACAACCUCAAAAGAGCCCAAGACAGAGGGGUCCAGAGGUUCACCCGUGUUGAGCUCCUCUAAUAUUCUGUAUGAUAAAUACCGGCAGGAGGUACAGAGAUCAGGCUACUACUCCCCUCCAGGACUAAUGGCAUCUGGAAUCAGGCCACCCAGCCAUACUGUCCCCCAUAAACUUGUGGGCAAAUCUGAGAGUUUCCACGGGAAGCUGCCGGAUCAGUGCUUACAUGAGGUUGGUAGAGCAGUUCAGCUAAAUACCCAUGAUGCUGCUGCUGCUUUCCGCUUUCCUAGAGCAUUAAAGCCUCAGCUCGGACUUGGAGCCGUCACCAGACAGCCUGCUACUAAGAACAGGACUGUUGUGCCAGGUCAAAGGUCUGCAUCACCCCUCAGUUAUAUGGCUCCAGCUGUUCAGGCUUCAAGUAGUCACCAGGAACCCCCAGUGGACCAGAAGAGACUACCCUUGGGUAUGUCCCCCAAAUUUUUGCUCCCCAAAGCGGGUCAAUCUGGACUUCGUCCACCCGGCUUCUCCCAUCUGCCUCCUGCUCGACUGGCUGCCUUUGGCUUCGUCCGCAGUGCCAGUGUGUCAUCUGUGUCCAGCAAUCAAUCAAGCGACAGCGCACAUAGUGACCACUGCCGAACCAACCGUCCACACAGCAGCAGUGAUGAAACACUGCUGUCCCGCUCUCCUCUUCCUCCCACCGAGAGCAGUUUUAGCAGAACUCAGAGUCCACGCAGACCCCUGCACCCGCCCCCUCGCACAUCACCAGCGGGUAAGCCACGCCCUCUUACCGUCAGCACACACUCUGCAUACACUCUCAGAAAAAAAGGUACAAAUAAUGAUUAGGAGUACCUGAUUAUUAAACUACUCAAACAAACAUGUAUAUGUGUUAUUUUUCAGGCAUGUAGUAAUAGUAACAAUAGAUGUUAAUAAAUGCUGUAUUGACUCAAUUUCGUGUUGUUUUGUGUAAAUGAAUAGUUUGGAGAUAAAGUGUAAGCUUUUCUGGUGCAAUGUGCUUGGGGGAAUAAUAAUUCUGCAUGCGCUGUAUUAAUCUGCUCUCUGCACUGAAACGUCUCUUGAGCAGCAUAUCAUCAUGUUAGAGUGAUUUCUGAGGGAUCACAUGCUGAAUGUAACCUGACCAAUGAUGUGUCAGCAGCAGUCACAUGACCCUGUGUGGAGAGGUGUGUCAGUGAUGUCAUGAUGCUGUCUGUCACCAUGGUGCAGCAUUCAUGGUGUUCACACACACACUAGAAC
This 3408-nucleotide long non-coding RNA is filed under the name Danio rerio (zebrafish). RNAcentral's name for it is "lncRNA (ENSDARG00000117388.1)". The record is from RNAcentral. Lineage: Eukaryota; Metazoa; Chordata; Actinopteri; Cypriniformes; Danionidae.